Non-coding RNA from Cyphellophora europaea CBS 101466, 148 nucleotides. NCBI's taxonomy places the organism in Eukaryota, Fungi, Ascomycota, Eurotiomycetes, Chaetothyriales, Cyphellophoraceae. The record is from the annotation of a RefSeq genome assembly.
GGCAGCAUGGUGCAGUGGUUCAGCACAUCUCCUACCUACAAUUUGGGCACGAGUCGACACCUUGGAGUCCUCGUUGCGGGUCUUGGUACCCUCGCUGGCGAUCAAUUGGAAAGGAUGAAGGUCCUUGGUUCGAAUCCAAGUGCUGCUA